Molecule: ribosomal RNA, 492 nt
Filed under: uncultured bacterium
Lineage: Bacteria
Description: partial 16S ribosomal RNA
Rfam family: Bacterial small subunit ribosomal RNA
Source: RNAcentral
AGUGAACGCUGGCGGUAGGCCUAACACAUGCAAGUCGAACGGCAGCACAGUAAGAGCUUGCUCUUACGGGUGGCGAGUGGCGGACGGGUGAGGAAUACAUCGGAAUCUACUUUUUCGUGGGGGAUAACGUAGGGAAACUUACGCUAAUACCGCAUACGACCUACGGGUGAAAGCAGGGGAUCUUCGGACCUUGCGCGAUUGAAUGAGCCGAUGUCGGAUUAGCUAGUUGGCGGGGUAAAGGCCCACCAAGGCGACGAUCCGUAGCUGGUCUGAGAGGAUGAUCAGCCACACUGGAACUGAGACACGGCCCAGACUCCUACGGGAGGCAGCAGUGGGGAAUAUUGGACAAUGGGCGCAAGCCUGAUCCAGCCAUACCGCGUGGGUGAAGAAGGCCUUCGGGUUGUAAAGCCCUUUUGUUGGGAAAGAAAAGCAGCAGGUUAAUACCCCGCGGUUCUGACGGUACCCAAAGAAUAAGCACCGGCUAACUUCGUG